This 63-nucleotide ribosomal RNA is filed under the name Pleosporormiella polymorpha. RNAcentral describes it as "Preussia polymorpha 5.8S ribosomal RNA". Lineage: Eukaryota; Fungi; Ascomycota; Dothideomycetes; Pleosporales; Sporormiaceae. The record is from RNAcentral.
UCAAGCCCUGCUUGGUGUUGGGUGUCUGUCCCGCCCCUGCGCGUGGACUCGCCUCAAAUCCAU